UCCCGGUCCUUCCCCGCCCCUCGGCUCCUCCCAUCGCUGUCCGUGUGUCCCGGGAGACUGCGAGUGCUCCCCCUUAUCGCCCGGCGCAGCCCCGCGGAAGGGCCGCUCCCUGCCCCGCCUGGCGGGGAGACCUUGGUGAAACACACUUUUGGCACCAGCCAGUAGGUACUGCCUGCUUGGAGUUCACUUAAAAAGAAGUGCAAGCUUUAUCCCUUCUGAUGGCAGGGGACAGAAGUGUAGCGCCGAUCCCCAAAUCUUUAGCUCUGAUAGCUUGGAAAAUAUAGAGGACACACUUUUCCUUAGCUCUCCCCGCCACUCCACCACCCCCAAGCUGUUAAAUAGACGUGAAGGGUAAAAUUAGGUUUUAAAAAGUAUCUCUGGGACUGCUGUUGACUUUUGCGUGUCUGGAUCUGACAGUACGGAUCAACUGUUGUACAAAGGAGUAGAUGUCUUCUUUCAUUCCAUCCCAGACACAGUACCUCCAGGGAUGGUGACUCCCCACUUCCUGGGCCAGCCUGCUUCAAUGCUUGACAACCUUUUCUGUGAAGAAAUUGUUCCUGCUGUCUGGAGGAAAAAGUUCUCGAGGAGUAAACAGGAAGGAAUUAACAAACUGGAAUGGAUGCAAACUGGAAGAAGUAAUAGAAAAGUCUGAGGUCAAGAAGUCAGAAGCUGGCACCCUAUUGAUCAAACUGCAACAACCACUGGAGUGAACAGCCCAGCCAUGUCUGAUAACAUGAAGAUUCUUCAAAAAAUUUCAAUGGAAGAAGAAAGAGAUGAAAAAAUAAAACCAGGCUAUUUUCUCUUCCAAUUUCUUUUUCUUCAGCUGGCACUUAAUUUAAAAAGCCUUAAAGGAUCAUAAUUAUCAAGUUGGUCAGAUUCCUAAUUUCACUGUACAUAUGAACAUGUGCCCACCCACUCGGUGACAGAUGAGACAGUGCCAUGUGGGACACACUUCCAAAUCAAAUGGGAUUAGCUAAGGUAUAAAAAAGGUCAAGAAGAGUUCCAGCACUUGUAUUGACUUCACUGCUAUUACAAUUUAUGUGAGCAAAAAGUUUAUUUCAACUUUUUCUGCCUUUCAGCCUUGCAUAUUUUAGCUGCUGUUUUUAAAGUGAAAAUGGGCCCUCUACAAUAUGAGUAUCAUCAGUACUAAUGAGGAUGUUU
Non-coding RNA from Lonchura striata (white-rumped munia), 1161 nucleotides. NCBI's taxonomy places the organism in Eukaryota, Metazoa, Chordata, Aves, Passeriformes, Estrildidae. The record is from RefSeq and is a predicted model, not a curated record.